This 104-nucleotide transfer RNA is filed under the name Colletotrichum chlorophyti. It matches the Rfam family "tRNA". From Rfam's summary of the family: Transfer RNA (tRNA) molecules are approximately 80 nucleotides in length. The record is from Rfam by way of RNAcentral. Lineage: Eukaryota; Fungi; Ascomycota; Sordariomycetes; Glomerellales; Glomerellaceae.
GGGCGCUUGGUCUAGGGGUAUGAUUUUCGCUUCGCAUCGUCUGGUUGUCGAAACACAGAUGCGCCGCAUGUGAAAGGUCGUGGGUUCAAUUCCCACAGUGUCCA